GCUACAGGCUUAACACAUGCAAGUCGAGGGGCAGCAUGGUCUUAGCUUGCUAAGGCCGAUGGCGACCGGCGCACGGGUGAGUAACACGUAUCCAACCUGCCGUCUACUCUUGGACAGCCUUCUGAAAGGAAGAUUAAUACAAGAUGGCAUCAUGAGUCCGCAUGUUCACAUGAUUAAAGGUAUUCCGGUAGACGAUGGGGAUGCGUUCCAUUAGAUAGUAGGCGGGGUAACGGCCCACCUAGUCUUCGAUGGAUAGGGGUUCUGAGAGGAAGGUCCCCCACAUUGGAACUGAGACACGGUCCAAACUCCUACGGGAGGCAGCAGUGAGGAAUAUUGGUCAAUGGGCGAGAGCCUGAACCAGCCAAGUAGCGUGAAGGAUGACUGCCCUAUGGGUUGUAAACUUCUUUUAUAAAGGAAUAAAGUCGGGUAUGGAUACCCGUUUGCAUGUACUUUAUGAAUAAGGAUCGGCUAACUCCGUGCCAGCAGCCGCGGUAAUACGGAGGAUCCGAGCGUUAUCCGGAUUUAUUGGGUUUAAAGGGAGCGUAGAUGGAUGUUUAAGUCAGUUGUGAAAGUUUGCGGCUCAACCGUAAAAUUGCAGUUGAUACUGGAUAUCUUGAGUGCAGUUGAGGCAGGCGGAAUUCGUGGUGUAGCGGUGAAAUGCUUAGAUAUCACGAAGAACUCCGAUUGCGAAGGCAGCCUGCUAAGCUGCAACUGACAUUGAGGCUCGAAAGUGUGGGUAUCAAACAGGAUUAGGUACCCUGGUAGUCCACACGGUAAACGAUGAAUACUCGCUGUUUGCGAUAUACUGCAAGCGGCCAAGCGAAAGCGUUAAGUAUUCCACCUGGGGAGUACGCCGGCAACGGUGAAACUCAAAGGAAUUGACGGGGGCCCGCACAAGCGGAGGAACAUGUGGUUUAAUUCGAUGAUACGCGAGGAACCUUACCCGGGCUUAAAUUGCAGAUGAAUUACGGUGAAAGCCGUAAGCCGCAAGGCAUCUGUGAAGGUGCUGCAUGGUUGUCGUCAGCUCGUGCCGUGAGGUGUCGGCUUAAGUGCCAUAACGAGCGCAACCCUUGUUGUCAGUUACUAACAGGUUCCGCUGAGGACUCUGACAAGACUGCCAUCGUAAGAUGUGAGGAAGGUGGGGAUGACGUCAAAUCAGCACGGCCCUUACGUCCGGGGCUACACACGUGUUACAAUGGGGGGUACAGAGGGCCGCUACCACGCGAGUGGAUGCCAAUCCCCAAAACCUCUCUCAGUUCGGACUGGAGUCUGCAACCCGACUCCACGAAGCUGGAUUCGCUAGUAAUCGCGCAUCAGCCACGGCGCGGUGAAUACGUUCCCGGGCCUUGUACACACCGCCCGUCAAGCCAUGGGAGCCGGGGGUACCUGAAGUGCGUAACCGCGAGGAGCGCCCUAGGGUAAAACUGGUGACUGGGGCUAAGUCAUAAC
This 1449-nucleotide ribosomal RNA is filed under the name uncultured organism. RNAcentral's name for it is "SSU rRNA". It matches the Rfam family "Bacterial small subunit ribosomal RNA". The record is from RNAcentral.